Molecule: unclassified non-coding RNA, 640 nt
Filed under: Leptolyngbya sp. ABCYN001
Lineage: Bacteria; Bacillati; Cyanobacteriota; Cyanophyceae; Leptolyngbyales; Leptolyngbyaceae
Description: bacterial SSU rRNA
Rfam family: Bacterial small subunit ribosomal RNA (bases 1-371)
Source: RNAcentral
CUCUCGCGACUGGAACGGUCGCUAAGACCCCAUAUGCCGAGAGGUGAAAUAGGUUUCUGCCUGAGGAUGAGCUCGCGUCUGAUUAGCUAGUUGGUGGGGUAAGAGCCCACCAAGGCGACGAUCAGUAUCUGGUCUGAGAGGAUGAUCAGCCACACUGGGACUGAGACACGGCCCAUACUCCUACGGGAGGCAGCAGUGGGGAAUUUUCCGCAAUGGGCGAAAGCCUGACGGAGCAAGACCGCGUGGGGGAAAAAGGUCUGUGGAUUGUAAACCCCUUUUGACCCGGAAUAAUUUGUGACCGUACCGGUUUAAUCCCCCUCAGCUAGCUUCUUGCCACCACCCACCGUAAUCCCGAGGAGGGUCUCGUUAUCUGGAAUUUUUGGGCGUAAAGCAUCAUUCCGUGGUUUUGCCUCUCAUCUGAUUCAGGGUGGGGUCUAACUCCCUAUGUGGCUUUUAAACUUCUCGGACAGGGUGGGGAUCGGGCCCUGGGUAUUCUCUUUGUACCCGUACAAUUCCUUCAGAUUGGAAAUAAUCCCCGUGCGGAAAACUGCUUUCCUGUCCGCAUAUGCAGUCGUAGAACCAAUUCCAGGGGAUAACGGGAAUAAAUCCCCGAUUAUCAACGCGUUACUCACCCGUCCGG